This 421-nucleotide ribosomal RNA is filed under the name uncultured bacterium. RNAcentral describes it as "partial 16S ribosomal RNA". It matches the Rfam family "Bacterial small subunit ribosomal RNA", at positions 360 to 773 of the family's 1533-position model. The record is from RNAcentral.
AAUAUUGGACAAUGGGGGCAACCCUGAUCCAGCCAUGCCGCGUGUGUGAAGAAGGUCUUCGGAUUGUAAAGCACUUUAAGUUGGGAGGAAGGGCUUUAGGUUAAUACCCUGAAGUUUUAACGUUACCAACAAAUGAAGAACCGGUAACCUGUGUCCCAGCAGCCGCGGUAAUACGGAGGGUGCAAGCGUUAAUCGGAAUUACUGGGCGUAAAGCGCGCGUAGGUGGUUCAGUAAGAUGGGUGUGAAAUCCCCGGGCUUAACCUGGGAACUGCUUUCAUAACUGCUGAGCUAGAGUACGGUAGAGGGUAGUGGAAUUUCCUGUGUAGCGGUGAAAUGCGUAGAUAUAGGGAGGAACACCAGUGGCGAAGGCGACUACCUGGACUGAUACUGACACUGAGGUGCGAAAGCGUGGGGAGCAAAC